AUUAUUAGUUUCUACUCCAUGAAAGGUAAAAAAUUCUGUAUAAAUUCCUUUGAAGUACCUGGAAAUUUUCUGCUGCUUCUUGGAAUGCAGGCAUAACCUUUUCAGAAUUAUUUGUACGGCAAAAAGCCAUAACAUGGACAAAAUUAAAUAAAUAAAUAAAUCAAUAAGCAUGUUAAAGUUAUAGCAGUAAUCAAAAUUUCCUUAUAUCGUGGGAAUAAAGUCUGCUGAGGUUAUGUGCUUUGGUGAGGGAAGAAAUAACUCAAUUGAAUUAAACAAAAAGGAAAUUCGAAUUAAUAGAAAUAAACAGGUAAACUAACAUUAAACAAAUAGGAAAUAAAGUAAAAAUCAAUCAAGAACACUCAAAAUAUAAGAAUUGAAUUCUGCCAAGAGCAAACUCUUUGGAAUUUUCUGGUUUAACUUGGAACAAAGUAAAAAGAAAGGAAAAUGUUUUUAUAGUUUUGAUGUUUAUGA
RNAcentral lists this unclassified non-coding RNA (471 nucleotides) under Hevea brasiliensis (rubber tree). Lineage: Eukaryota; Viridiplantae; Streptophyta; Magnoliopsida; Malpighiales; Euphorbiaceae. The record is from RNAcentral.